AGUACAUACAACAAGAAAAGUCAAACCUCAUAAUUAGUCAAGAAAUUCAAAUUCAAACAACAAGGAGGAUCAAUUUCCACUAUCAAAUGGGCACAGAAUUAAAACAAAAAAUUUAAAGAGGUACUCCUAAGGAAUUAUUUUUGAGGAACUAAGAAAAAGACCUACUCCCAAUUCGACAAGAGUGUCAGCAAGAAAAAUUAGAAGGAAAAUAGAAACUUUUUGAAGGAAAAUUUGGCAACAAAUAUUAAAAAUAUUAAGCUGUACCUCUAUCCUCAUUGGAGGAGGUCAUCCAGGGCACAGGAUGGUGGGCUGACCCCGCCCUCCCCCGACGAGCUACACACGGGCAGUGGGAGGGACCACACUCUCUCCUCUGUUGUUGGAGUGACCUUCUGCCCAGUGCUCCGGGUAGGAGAUGGUUUCAGGGACUCGCCUUCAGAGAGUGACACGUUGUUGAGACCUACCAAACUGAGUAGGUGUCUGAACCCCAAUGAGGCCUCUCUAUAAGCUUUUAAGAUUUGGUGGACAGAUGUGGAGAUCUAUUCAUUGCACAGCCCCUUGGAGGCGAGACUUUUAAGUUUUCUGCCUUAUCCCACCUGCUGCCUCUCAAUGGAGCCUCUUGAUGGAGCCUCUCAAACGGAGCAUGGUCUCUCUCUCUUCUGUCUCUCCUUGACCUCUGUGGCCAGUGACCAGUUCAGAUUUCAUCCAGGAAAUUCCCAAGUAUAUGAACCAACACUUCUUCACCCAGAACUCUGCUUUAUUAUCUUCAAGGCAAGAAGUGGCAACAUGACAAUGGCCCUGAUGUUAGAGGACUUGAGUUGGUUCCUGAACAUGCUUCUCACUACCUGUGUACCUGGGGCAAGUCUUUUGGUCGCUGUCACUUUGGUUUCCUCAUCUGGCUAAUUGGGAGUACAGAUGAUGAUAGCAGUAGCACCUGCAUCACGGUCUGCCAUGAGGACUGAGUGUAACCACAUUCCUGUCGUUCUUGCAGUCCCUGACACCGAGUGAGGCACUCACUGUGUUACUAUCACCAUCACCAUCAAAAUGACACCACUGAUGUGCCCCAAUCAGAAAGACAAGACAGCCCGAAAUGGGGAUCCCAGGGGUAACGUUUUCACAUUUAUUGUGUAAAUCAGCAUUUUUUAAAGAGUUGGAUUUCUAGAUGUUUCCUUCCCAUAGAGUGGAGGACAGCCAUGCAAUUAGUCUUUUUAUAACUGAAUAUCUCUGUACAAAGCAAAAAAGAGGGAAGGUAUGGGUAACUGAGACAUUGCUUUCCACUUACC
Molecule: long non-coding RNA, 1280 nt
Organism: Bos taurus (domestic cattle)
Lineage: Eukaryota; Metazoa; Chordata; Mammalia; Artiodactyla; Bovidae
Source: Ensembl